Molecule: ribosomal RNA, 855 nt
Filed under: Aphelenchoides sp. n. YF-2021
Lineage: Eukaryota; Metazoa; Nematoda; Chromadorea; Rhabditida; Aphelenchoididae
Description: SSU rRNA
Source: RNAcentral
CUCAUUACAACAGAUAUAAUUUACUUGAUCUCAUCCCGCCCAACGGAUAACUGCGGUAAUUCUGGAGCCAAUACGUGCACMAAAGCCGAGYUCAGCAAUGAGCGCGGKGSACUUAUCGGAGCAAAAUCAAUCUUGAUUUUUGUUAACUCUAKAUAAUCCUAGCUUAUCGCAUGSCCUCSCGGSGGSGAAGUUACAUUCAAGUAUCUGCCUUAUCAACUAUCGUUGGUAGUGUAUUGGACUACCGAGGUGUUGACGGGUAACGGAGAAUCAGGGUUCGACUCCGGAGAGGGAGCCUUAGAAACGGCUACCAUGUCUAAGGACAGCAGCAGGCGCGCAACUUAUCCACUGUUCAUCGAACGAGAUAGUGACGAGAAAUAACAAGUUCGGUCUCUUUGAGGUCGAACAUUGGAAUGGACGGAAUUUAAAGGAUUCCGUGAGUAUCAAUGAGAGGGCAAGUCUGGUGCCAGCAGCCGCGGUAAUUCCAGCUCUCAUAAUAUAUAGAAUUAUUGUUGCGGUUAAAAAGUUCGUAGUUGGAUUUUCGACUGCUCGCGGGUGGUGGUUAACGCCGCCUACUCGCGACAGUGUUUGAUUUGCGAUSRGUUUGCUGGUCUCAAGUCGGGUUACUUUGAACGGCUCAAGUGCUCAAGGCAGGUCUUCGGACCGAAUACCGGUGCAUGGAAUAAUGGAACAAGGUUUGGGCCGAGUUUUAUUGGUUUUGUCGGCCUCGACAAUGGUUAACAGGAACAGCUGGGGGCACUCGUAUCGCUGCGCGAGAGGUGAAAUUCGUGGACCGCAGCGAGACGCCCGAAAGCGAAGGCAUUUGCCAAGAGUGCUUUCAUUAAUCAAGAACGAAAG